Molecule: ribosomal RNA, 532 nt
Filed under: fungal sp. SL-57
Lineage: Eukaryota; Fungi
Description: eukaryotic LSU rRNA
Rfam family: 5.8S ribosomal RNA (bases 170-323)
Source: RNAcentral
UUGAGGGCAGUAGAACUCUUUGGGGUCGCCCCUAAAGGGAAGUAUGCUGCUUUUCUUAACCCUUUGACUUUUUGCAAACCCAAGUUUCCUCGGCAGGCUUGCCUGCCGGCUGGACAAUUUAUAAACCUUUUUAAUUCUCAAUCAGCGUCUGAAUAAUUAUAAUAAUUACAACUUUCAACAACGGAUCUCUUGGUUCUGGCAUCGAUGAAGAACGCAGCGAAAUGCGAUAAGUAGUGUGAAUUGCAGAAUUCAGUGAAUCAUCGAAUCUUUGAACGCACAUUGCGCCCCUUGGUAUUCCAUGGGGCAUGCCUGUUCGAGCGUCAUUUGUACCUUCAAGCUAUGCUUGGUGUUGGGUGUCUGUCUCUGCUUUUGUGCCUAGACUCGCCCUAAAUACAUUGGCAGCUAAUAUAUUUGUUUCAAGCGCAGCACAAUUUGCCUUGGAGCCUAUUGAUAUUCGCUUCCAUUAAGACUAUUUAACACUUUUGACCUCGGAUCAGGUAGGGAUACCCGCUGAACUUAAGCAUAUCAAUAA